CCCUUAGAUGUCCUGGGCCGCACGCGCGCUACAAUGACUCACUCAGAAAGUUUUUCCUGAUCCGGAAGGAUUCGGGUAAUCUUCAUAGCAUGAGUCGUGUUAGGGACCGAUCUUUGCAAUUAUAGAUCUUGAACGAGGAAUGCCUAGUAAGUGCAGCUCAUCAGGCUGUACUGAUUACGUCCCUGCCCUUUGUACACACCGCCCGUCGCUCCUACCGAUUGAGUGGUCCGGUGAACCUUCUGGAUUAAGCAGCAAUGCUUGAGAAGUUAGGUAAACCUUAUCACUUAGAGGAAGGAGAAGUCGUAACA
This 308-nucleotide ribosomal RNA is filed under the name uncultured eukaryote. Its description in RNAcentral is "partial 18S ribosomal RNA". It matches the Rfam family "Eukaryotic small subunit ribosomal RNA", at positions 1470 to 1796 of the family's 1831-position model. The record is from RNAcentral.